This 185-nucleotide ribosomal RNA is filed under the name uncultured bacterium. RNAcentral's name for it is "partial 16S ribosomal RNA". It matches the Rfam family "Bacterial small subunit ribosomal RNA", at positions 1315 to 1500 of the family's 1533-position model. The record is from RNAcentral.
CCUGCAUGAAGCCGGAAUCGCUAGUAAUCGCGGAUCAGAAUGCCGCGGUGAAUACGUUCCCGGGCCUUGUACACACCGCCCGUCAAACCAUGAGAGUUGGCAACACCGAAGUCGGUAGUCUAACCGCAAGGAGGACGCCGCCGAAGGUGGGGUUGAUGAUUAGGGUUAAGUCGUAACAAGGUAGC